This 513-nucleotide ribosomal RNA is filed under the name uncultured bacterium. RNAcentral's name for it is "partial 16S ribosomal RNA". It matches the Rfam family "Bacterial small subunit ribosomal RNA", at positions 28 to 523 of the family's 1533-position model. The record is from RNAcentral.
GAUGAACGCUGGCGGCGUGCCUAAUACAUGCAAGUCGAGCGAACAGAUAAGGAGCUUGCUCCUUUGAAGUUAGCGGCGGACGGGUGAGUAACACGUGGGUAACCUACCUAUAAGCCUGGGACAACUUCGGGAAACCGGAGCUAAUACCGGAUAACAUUUAGAACCGCAUGGUUCUAAAGUGAACGAUGGUCUUGCUAUCACUUAUAGAUGGACCCGCGCCGUAUUAGCUAGUUGGUAAGGUAACGGCUUACCAAGGCGACGAUACGUAGCCGACCUGAGAGGGUGAUCGGCCACACUGGAACUGAGACACGGUCCAGACUCCUACGGGAGGCAGCAGUAGGGAAUCUUCCGCAAUGGGCGAAAGCCUGACGGAGCAACGCCGCGUGAGUGAUGAAGGGUUUCGGCUCGUAAAACUCUGUUAUUAGGGAAGAACAAAUGUGUAAGUAACUGUGCACAUCUUGACGGUACCUAAUCAGAAAGCCACGGCUAACUACGUGCCAGCCGCCGCCGUAA